RNAcentral lists this ribosomal RNA (460 nucleotides) under uncultured bacterium. Its description in RNAcentral is "partial 16S ribosomal RNA". It matches the Rfam family "Bacterial small subunit ribosomal RNA", at positions 338 to 795 of the family's 1533-position model. The record is from RNAcentral.
CCUACGGGGGGCUGCAGUGAGGAAUAUUGGUCAAUGGGCGUAAGCCUGAACCAGCCAAGUCGCGUGAGGGAUGAAGGCUCUAUGGAUCGUAAACCUCUUUUAUAAGGGAAUAAAGUGCGGGACGUGUCCCGUUUUGUAUGUACCCUAUGAAUAAGGAUCGGCUAACUCCGUGCCAGCAGCCGCGUUAAUACGGAGGAUCCGAGCGUUAUCCGGAUUUCUUGGGUUUAAAGGGGGGGUAGGAGGCCUGUUAAGCAAGGGGGGAAAGUUGGUGGCUCAACCCUAGAAUUGCCAUUGAAACUGGCGGGCUUGAGUACAUUUGAGGUAGGCGGAAUGCGUGGUGUAGCGGUGAAAUGCUUAGAUAUCACGCAGAACCCCGAUUGCGAAGGCAGCCUGCCAGGCCAUGACUGACGCUGAUGCACGAAAGCGUGGGGAUCAAACAGGAUUAGAUACCCUAGUAGUC